RNAcentral lists this unclassified non-coding RNA (237 nucleotides) under Hevea brasiliensis (rubber tree). The record is from RNAcentral. Lineage: Eukaryota; Viridiplantae; Streptophyta; Magnoliopsida; Malpighiales; Euphorbiaceae.
GACUCAAGCUGCUGUAAUAUCACUGUCUACCAUUGUGACUCUGGCUCUCUUCAUUUAUUUGCCUUCUACUGUGAUAACCAUUUCCCGUUGUAUGUAUAAGUCUUCGGGCACUGGACAUCGUUAAAGGACUCUCUCAUACUAAGAAAUUCUAGCAGUAGCCGGGGUGUCUUUAUAUUGAACAAGAAAUAAGAAUGUUGUGUUCUGGUGGCAUUUCUUAACUCUUCACUGCCAAUGAAA